Molecule: ribosomal RNA, 395 nt
Filed under: uncultured bacterium
Lineage: Bacteria
Description: partial 16S ribosomal RNA
Rfam family: Bacterial small subunit ribosomal RNA
Source: RNAcentral
AUACGUAGGGUGCAAGCGUUAAUCGGAAUUACUGGGCGUAAAGCGUGCGCAGGCGGUUUUGUAAGACAGUGGUGAAAUCCCCGGGCUCAACCUGGGAACUGCCAUUGUGACUGCAAGGCUGGAGUGCGGCAGAGGGGGAUGGAAUUCCGCGUGUAGCAGUGAAAUGCGUAGAUAUGCGGAGGAACACCGAUGGCGAAGGCAAUCCCCGGGGCCUGCACUGACGCUCAUGCACGAAAGCGGGGGGAGCAAACAGGAUUAGAGACCCUGGUAGUCCACGCCCUAAACGAUGUCAACUGGUUGUUGGGGAUUUAUUUUCUCAGUAACGAAGCUAACGCGUGAAGUUGACCGCCUGGGGAGUACGGCCGCAAGGUUAAAACUCAAAGGAAUUGACGGGG